Molecule: non-coding RNA, 30 nt
Filed under: Mus musculus (house mouse)
Lineage: Eukaryota; Metazoa; Chordata; Mammalia; Rodentia; Muridae
Source: RNAcentral
UACACUGGAGUGGAGUGCUUUGUGGAUGUC